AGCUGCCGUUCAGUAGCCUCUUCGCGGGGCAAGCCCGCUCCUACAAACCGGUGGGAGCGGGCUUGCCCCGCGAUGAAAACAGAAAAGGCCGCAUCAGCGGCCUUUUCUGUUUCAAGCAUCAAGCACUCA
Molecule: unclassified non-coding RNA, 129 nt
Filed under: Pseudomonas sp. JV241A
Lineage: Bacteria; Pseudomonadati; Pseudomonadota; Gammaproteobacteria; Pseudomonadales; Pseudomonadaceae
Description: STnc540
Rfam family: Enterobacterial sRNA STnc540
Source: RNAcentral